UCGGGCACAGCUGCAUCACAAAAUGGGUCCCCUGCAUUGUCACGGCUCAUAGACAAGCUGUCGCUUGCUUUGGCCUGGGAGUGCUUGUGUCAGGCCAGGACUGUGGAAUCAGACGGGCUAGGAAUCUGGAGUCUACGACCUGCCAGCAAUGAAACCCUGGAGGCCUGGUUCUCAGUUCUUCUCUUCUACCCCAGCACUGGGACUGGCACAGAGAAGAUAGGCAGGGAACACUAUUUGAACAAAUAAAUGAAUGCAUGAUUGGAUAUGUGAGGCCCCGUUGCUGCUCUGUUGGAAAGGGGAGACCAGGAUUCAUUCAAAUACUAUCUCCUGCAGGACUUGACAGAGGCUUGACACACAGUAGGAAAGAACUGGAGCUGCCUAUCCUGUGGACCUUGAACACCUGAACCCCAUGCUCCCUCUGUGGAGCCCUUUCUCUUCCUACUAGAGCUGCUGAGAGAGAGAAGGCUGGUGUCACCGAACAAGGUGGGACAGUUUGUGGCACUCUCUGGAUUCCAAAUGGCUGCUUCAAACCCUGGCUCUAUGAUCAGGGCCUGCAGCAUCUCAUGAGACCUUCACUAGAAUGUCAACUCUCUCUGGUCACUGAUGUACUCCAGAACUUAGAAGAGUGCCAGCAUGUAGUAGAUGCUCAAAACUGUGCAUGAAUGUUGGCUGAAGGACCUGCUCCCUCCUGCCUCUAUUUCCGAAUUCACUUUGAAUCCCACUCCUCCAUACUUCUAUGUUCCACUACAUCUGCUUCUGUUCUCCCAACAUGCCAAGCUCAAGUCAGGCUUGUAGUGCUCACACUUACUGUUCCUUUUGCUGAGAAUGCUCUUCCCUCCAAUCCUGGUAUGGCUAGUUCUUUUUAUUACUCAUAUUUCAGUUCAAAUGUUAUCACUUCAGUGAAGCCUUCCCUGAAAUAGAUAGGCCCUCUCAUCUUGGUCACAUUAUUUUAUUUUAUUGUCUGCAUUAUACUUAUUAUCUUAUUUAUACAUUUAUUGGUCUGUUAUAUCUUUUCUACUAUAUUAUAAGCU
Long non-coding RNA from Canis lupus familiaris (dog), 1031 nucleotides. RefSeq lists it as uncharacterized. Lineage: Eukaryota; Metazoa; Chordata; Mammalia; Carnivora; Canidae. The record is from RefSeq and is a predicted model, not a curated record. The transcript has 3 exons.